GGUUAAGCGACUAAGCGUACACGGUGGAUGCCCUGGCAGUCAGAGGCGAUGAAGGACGUGCUAAUCUGCGAUAAGCGUCGGUAAGGUGAUAUGAACCGUUAUAACCGGCGAUUUCCGAAUGGGGAAACCCAGUGUGAUUCGUCACACUAUCAUUAACUGAAUCCAUAGGUUAAUGAGGCGAACCGGGGGAACUGAAACAUCUAAGUACCCCGAGGAAAAGAAAUCAACCGAGAUUCCCCCAGUAGCGGCGAGCGAACGGGGAGCAGCCCAGAGCCUGAAUCAGUGUGUGUGU
Molecule: ribosomal RNA, 292 nt
Filed under: Escherichia coli
Lineage: Bacteria; Pseudomonadati; Pseudomonadota; Gammaproteobacteria; Enterobacterales; Enterobacteriaceae
Description: partial 23S ribosomal RNA
Rfam family: Bacterial large subunit ribosomal RNA
Source: RNAcentral